AAACGACUCUCGGCAACGGAUAUCUCGGCUCUCGCAUCGAUGAAGAACGUAGCGAAAUGCGAUACUUGGUGUGAAUUGCAGAAUCCCGUGAACCAUCGAGUCUUUGAACGCAAGUUGCGCCCGAAGCCAUUAGGCCGAGGGCACGCCUGCCUGGGCGUCACACGCCGUCGCCCCCCCAACCGAUCCCUCGGGAUUGCGGGGGGCGGAUGAUGGCCUCCCGCGCGCCCCGUCGCGCGGUUGGCAUAAAUGCCCAGUCCUCGGCGGCGCACGCCACGACAAUCGGUGGUUGCGAGACCUCGGUUGCCCGUCGUGCGCGGUCGCCGCGCAUCGAGGGCUCGAAAAAACGCCCGGCUCCGGCUCGGCUUUCAACGCGACCCCAGGUCAGGCGGGGUUACCCGCUGAAUUUAAGCAUAUCAAUAAGCGGAGGAAAAGAAACUUACGAGGAUUCCCCUAGUAACGGCGAGCGAACCGGGAACAGCCC
This 481-nucleotide ribosomal RNA is filed under the name Prunus topengii. RNAcentral describes it as "eukaryotic LSU rRNA". The stretch from base 5 to 160 matches the Rfam family "5.8S ribosomal RNA". Lineage: Eukaryota; Viridiplantae; Streptophyta; Magnoliopsida; Rosales; Rosaceae. The record is from RNAcentral.